CCAGUUAGAUACUGACAACAAAAACUCCAUCACCGCUCAACUGACCGCGUCUUCUACUUCUCAUUUAUUCCAGCUGUUGAUUCCAUCCAACCCUAUUGUUCCCUGCUCCACUGAUCGAUUUUUUCACAUCUUCAGUUCCUCGGGUCAAUCCUCCCCUGCUCGCCUUCCCCACUUUGGUUUAAUCCCCCACAGGGGUUCCGCCUCAAGCAACUGUACACCACCGUCUCCACCCUUCUACUUUGUCGCCUCCAAGACAGAAACGAAAUAACAAAGCAAUCAGCAAGCGUCAGUAGCAGCGGUGGUGUUAUUUGGAGUUAGAAAUGGAAGAGUUAUUGCCUGACCUGUGGUCUAUCCCAUCAGUCGAAGGCGUAGACUGUCGUCUCCUCAGGAAGUAGUGAAGCAGAGGACAGGGGCCUAGCUGGCCUGUAACACCGGUGGCCAUAUUUGUAAGUUAGAAUUGUCAUUGUGCUUUGAUGGAUUUUAGAGCCCUAGGAUCGAAUGCUAAGGUAAUUAUUCAUCUCUUUCAACUUCGAUUGCAUCGUCAUCAACAGGCUUAAAGGGCUUGGAAUUAACGCAAAUCAAAUUGGGAGAGAGACGCGACCCCAAUUUGCUGUACACCUCAAAACCCCAUUUUUAACUUCAUUCAAGAGACUGAUUUGUUUAUUUGUUUGGUGUUUCUUUGAAAAUUUCUUGAUCUAAGUUUGGGUGAUGGAAGAAACUUAGACAAAACGAAGCCCUUUCUAUUCUUCCCUCUCCCUCCUGUUGUUGCUGAUUGACGAAUUCUAGCAUUAAAUUAAGCACCGACAAACUAAAUUAAGCGAUGUCGGAGGAAGGCUUCUUUCCUUUCUUGACUAACGAGUCCGACCUGGUCACCUGGAUAUUCUGCCUUUGAAACUAUAGAAGAUAUGAUUCCUGGAGAAACGGUAAAACCAGAAAGAAAACAACCAAAUGUGAAUCAUGAUUGGGUGCUAAACUUCAAACAGGUUGUUGCAGUGAAAACCUGUGAAAUGGACACCGAUUACAAUCAUCUUCAUUGUUCCAUUUGUUCUUUUAUGGAGCAGCUUUAAACAAUAAGAAUCUGUAAAUUACUUCCCUUAGAUGACAAAAACAGUAAGCUUGGAUGGGGCGCAACCAUUAGAGAAGGAUUUGUUUGUACAUUAUCAGCAUGAAUAUAUCUCCAGAAAAUAAAAAAUAUUGAGGAUUUUUUCUGCAGAAUAUUGUCGUGUAUUUUUGUGUAUAUGUUUUGUUUAAUGUCUCAGGGGAGUAAAUUAAUUAGUUAUGUUGUUUUGUUAGUUAAAACAUGGACUCGAGUCAGAUGGAUGAAUCGUGUAGCAAACACACAAAUUUAAUAUAAUGGAAGUGAUUGUAAAUUUGUAACU
This is a non-coding RNA of Lactuca sativa (garden lettuce), 1379 nucleotides long. Lineage: Eukaryota; Viridiplantae; Streptophyta; Magnoliopsida; Asterales; Asteraceae. The record is from RefSeq and is a predicted model, not a curated record.